CGCUGGCGGCGUGCCUAAUACAUGCAAGUCGAACGGUCUUUCUAUGGAAGCUUGCUUCCACUGAAAGAUAGUGGCGAACGGGUGAGUAACACGUGGGUAACCUGCCCAUAAGAGGGGGAUAACAUCCGGAAACGGGUGCUAAUACCGCAUAGUUUUCUUGAUCGCAUGAUCGGGAAAGGAAAGACGGCCUUUGUGCUGUCGCUUAUGGAUGGACCCGCGGCGUAUUAGUUAGUUGGUGAGGUAACGGCUCACCAAGACGAUGAUACGUAGCCGACCUGAGAGGGUGAUCGGCCACAUUGGGACUGAGACACGGCCCAAACUCCUACGGGAGGCAGCAGUAGGGAAUCUUCCGCAAUGGACGAAAGUCUGACGGAGCAACGCCGCGUGAGUGAAGAAAGGUUUUCGGAUCGUAAAACUCUGUUGUCAGAGAAGAACAAGUUGGAGAGUAACUGCUCCAGCCUUGACGGUAUCUGACCAGAAAGCCACGGCUAACUACGUGCCAGCCGCUGC
Molecule: ribosomal RNA, 510 nt
Filed under: uncultured bacterium
Lineage: Bacteria
Description: bacterial SSU rRNA
Rfam family: Bacterial small subunit ribosomal RNA
Source: RNAcentral